RNAcentral lists this ribosomal RNA (279 nucleotides) under uncultured bacterium. RNAcentral's name for it is "partial 16S ribosomal RNA". It matches the Rfam family "Bacterial small subunit ribosomal RNA", at positions 506 to 784 of the family's 1533-position model. The record is from RNAcentral.
UGCCAGCCGCCGCGGUAAUACGGAAGGUCCUAGCGUUGUUCGGAAUUACUGGGCGUAAAGCGCAUGUAGGCGGAACAGAAAGUUAGAAGUGAAAUCCCUGGGCUCAACCUAGGAAUUGCUUUUAAAACUUCUGUUCUGGAAUUAAGGAGAGGAAAAUGGAAUAUCCAGUGUAGAGGUGAAAUUCGUAGAUAUUGGAUGGAACACCAGUGGCGAAGGCGGCCCCCUGGAUCGAUACUGACGCUGAGAUACGAAGGCAUGGGUAGCAAACGGGAUUAGAUA